Long non-coding RNA from Catharus ustulatus (Swainson's thrush), 2083 nucleotides. RefSeq lists it as uncharacterized. Lineage: Eukaryota; Metazoa; Chordata; Aves; Passeriformes; Turdidae. The transcript is spliced from 2 exons. The record is from RefSeq and is a predicted model, not a curated record.
CGGCCCCGCGCCCGCCGGGCCGAGGCGGCGGCGCUUUACUCACCGAACAAGGAGGACGCUUUGGGCCCGGCUCCAGCAGCCCUCAGGGAACAGCAGCAGCUUUUGGAAGGACUUCUCCAUCAGGCUCACACCCAGAGCCCUCAGGGGCGCUGGCACGGAGCGUGCCCGGACACAUCUGUCCCAUCCUACCCAGGGCAGCUCUGGCUUCGCAAGGACUGACAGCCUCAGCACAGCGGGAACAAAUCAAACGUGCAAAGCAGAAAAAAAACAUCAGCCCGAAAUUCACCGGGCGAAGGUCCCUGCCACCACAUCCUGCUUUUGAAUGGGUCUGAUAUCCUCACGGAGAUUUCUCUUCAUAACAACAUUAUCUUAAAAUUACGUAAUGCCUUAUCAAGCCAGCACAUCUUAUGCACAAGCGAUAACAAUGAUUUUACUACAACUCUGGGAAUCUCAUUAGGAACGAGCUGGAGCUCCCCGAGCACCAGCUCCCCGAGCACAGCGACCACGGGAGGAAAUGCAGAUGCUCGGGAGAGCCGGACACAGCUCCCACCUGGCCCUGCCCCUCCCAGCGAGCCCAGCUCUUAGGUUUGCUCUGCGGCAGGGGAGGGAACAAAAGAGAAUCCCGCUGUGCACGACCUUGGUUUAAGUGGCAGCAAGGAUGAGCUUGGUGUUUUGUUCCCCUGGAGCCCUUGAGAAGCCCUCCCUCCUUGUUAGCAUCACAUUGUGUAGCAAAGGUGCUACUGUGUUUGACACCUGGUAGGAAUAUUUGUGGGUGAAUUUACAAAGUGUACCUCAAGGACAAAAGCUCCAGAAGAGAAAUACCACGUAUAACAUGCUGUUUUCUGGCCUUCUCAUUGUCCCUCAGAGGUUUCUUGCCUCAUCUUUCAAACCUCAACGUUCUUCAGAGACUGCAGUCUGUUACUACAGCUUCAUUAUUCAUGUAAAAUAUCAUCACUGGGGUUUGGGGUGGGUUUUUUUAUUUUAUUUUAUUUUAUUUUGGCUCCUUUCCUUUUUCUGUCUUGCUCUGGGUGCUGAGCACCCUGGGACCAGUGGCGCAUUUUCCAGUGGCUUUUCUGUGAUCCAUCACCUUGUCUGAGACUCUGGUACAAAAUUGCUUCUAAUUACUUGACAUUUAUUCUUCAAACCUUAACUAAUUCACUAAUCAUAUAGUGAUAAACGAGAUUUUAAAAUUAAUCACUGACAUUUUUAAAGAUUUAUACACAACUGUAAAAACAGGUUCCCAGCUAGUAAAUAUAAUGUUGUGUGAAGGAAAUAAACCCCAACCCACCAUAAAUUAAAGCUGUCCUGUAUUAAUGGGAAGCAGUAAAAGUGAAGACAUGGUGAGAUGUUACCUGAUGAAUAGGGGUAGCAUCUUAUCACAGUUAGUGUCUUCCUGCUACAGAUCCCUUGACAGCAGGAAAACAGCAUUUGUAGAAGCCUUGUCAUGCGCAGAAUUUAAUUGAGCCUUUAAUGUGCAAUUGCUGGAAGUUUGUGGGGCAGGCAGGGAAGUGGCCAAGGGCUGCCUUACCAAGCAGGUUUGUAGCUCACAGUAUUUGCAAUGAAACAUUUACUCCUUGCAAAACAGCAAGGCAGAUUUCUACCUCUUGUUCAGUAAGAUAAAUUCAAUUAUUUUAGCUAAUUUAAAAGUCAUCAAUAAAAAGUUUGAAGGCUGACCAGCCAGCUUCUAGUUAUAAUUAAUAUUUUUACAGAUGACAGCUAUUUGAAUAUAACAUCAAGCCUGUUACCAAACCCAGAACAGCCAUUGCACAUUACCAGUAUUUUGGAUAAUCUUUCUCCCUUUGAAGAGAGAACUGCCAUUUGAGCCUGUCUUUUGGAUGCUGCUGUUCAUUAUUAAUGGCAAAGUAAUUUAAACCCAAUAUUACCAAGCACUGUACAGGCAUAGAGAGAGAGAGAAUCCUGCAUUAACUUCAGCAGCUAUGAACAAGAUUUGCAAAUCAGACAUAAUCACAUUUAGCAUCCUAUCCUGAUCCACAGGACUUGCACUAUGUCCCACAACAGCUUGGAGCAGUUUGAUACACAGUGCAUGGUGUACAUCAGUGAAAUAAAAAAUGGGCUUAACACA